Molecule: ribosomal RNA, 1638 nt
Filed under: Triticum aestivum (bread wheat)
Lineage: Eukaryota; Viridiplantae; Streptophyta; Magnoliopsida; Poales; Poaceae
Description: partial small subunit ribosomal RNA
Source: RNAcentral
AUGCGGCUGCCCCGGCCUGGCCCCGCAGACCAAGGUUUGACCCCCGGCCUCACUCCCCACCCCCCUUCCUCGCUCACGCACACGAUGAAGCACCCGGCGGCGCUGCUGCUGAUACUAGCGGCAGCUGCUCUUGUGCUGCUGAUACUAGCGCCAGCUGCUCAUGUGCUGCUGCCUUCUGCGCAAUACCACUGGCUCAACCCCGAGAUCCACGACGCCGGCGGGCUGAGCCGGCAGGGCUUCCCGGAGGGGUUCGUGUUCGGGACGGCCACUUCGGCGUACCAGGUGGAGGGGAUGGCGGAGCAGGGAGGGCGAGGGCCAAGCAUCUGGGACGCCUUCAUCAAGAUACCAGGGACGAUCGCCAGCAACGGCACCGCCGAUGUGGCGGUCGAUGAGUACCACAGGUACAAGGAGGAUGUGGACAUAAUGAAGAACAUAGGCUUCGAGGCCUACCGGUUUUCCAUCUCUUGGUCGAGGAUUUUCCCAGAUGGGACUCAGAAGGUGAACUGGGAAGGAGUGGAUUACUACAACAGGCUCAUAGAUUACAUGCUUGAGCAAGGCAUCACUCCAUAUGCAAACCUCUAUCACUAUGACCUCCCACUGGCACUCCAUCAGCGGUACCUUGGCUGGCUAAGCCCAAACAUAGUGGGCGCGUUUGCAGACUAUGCCGAUUUCUGUUUCAAGGUGUUCGGAGACAGGGUGAAGAAUUGGUUUACCUUCAAUGAGCCGAGGUGCGUCGCUGCUCUGGGGUAUGACAUUGGCCUCCAUGCACCGGGGAGGUGUUCUCAGUGCUCUGCAGGAGGUGACUCCACGACAGAGCCGUACCUUGCCGCGCACCAUCUCAUACUUUCACAUGCUGCGGCUGUGCGGCGAUACCGUGACAAGUAUCAGCAUCACCAAAAGGGGAAGAUUGGAAUUCUCUUGGAUUUUGUGUGGUACGAACCUUUGAGCAACAGUAAUGCUGAUCGAGCUGCAGCACAGAGGGCAAGGGACUUCCACCUUGGAUGGUUCCUUGACCCCAUCAUCCAUGGUCACUACCCAUUCACGAUGCUCGAGAUUGUCAAGGAUCGGUUGCCACGCUUCAGUGAUGAUGAGUCCAGGAUGGUAAAAGGAUCCAUUGACUAUGUUGGUAUCAACCAAUACACUUCUUUCUACAUGAAGGACAAUGGGACUUGGAACCUCACGCCUGUCAGUUACCAGCAUGAUUGGCAUGUUGAAUUUGUCUUUAAACGAAAUGGCGUGCCUAUUGGAGCUCAUGCAAACUCCUACUGGCUUUACAUUGUGCCAUGGGGAAUCAACAAGGCUGUGACCUAUGUUAAAGAAAGAUAUGGAAAUCCUAUAAUGAUCCUUGCUGAAAACGGGAUGGACCAACCUGGCAACAUCAGCAUCGCUGAUGGUGUGCGCGACACAGUAAGAAUCCGGUACUACAGAGACUACAUAACCGAGCUCAAGAAGGCGAUAGACGAUGGCGCCCGGGUGAUCGGGUACUUUGCUUGGUCUCUGCUUGACAACUUCGAGUGGAGACUCGGCUACACCGCCCGUUUCGGUAUUGUCUAUGUGGACUACAAGACUCUGAAGAGGUACCCAAAGGACUCAGCGUUAUGGUUCAAGAACAUGCUCUCCGAGAAGAAGAGGAGCUAG